RNAcentral lists this ribosomal RNA (461 nucleotides) under uncultured bacterium. RNAcentral describes it as "partial 16S ribosomal RNA". It matches the Rfam family "Bacterial small subunit ribosomal RNA", at positions 338 to 795 of the family's 1533-position model. The record is from RNAcentral.
CCUACGGGAGGCAGCAGUGAGGAAUAUUGGUCAAUGGGCUUACGCCUGAACCAGCCAAGUCGCGUGAGGGAAGACUGCCCUAUGGGUUGUAAACCUCUUUUGUCAGGGAGUAACGCCUGCUACGUGUAGCCGGCCUGAGAGUACCUGAAGAAAAAGCAUCGGCUAACUCCGUGCCAGCAGCCGCGGUAAUACGGAGGAUCCGAGCGUUAUCCGGAUUCAUUGGGUUUAAAGGGUGCGUAGGUUGUUUUAUAAGUUAGCGGUGAAAUACCGAUGCUCAACAUCGGGGCUGCCGCUGAUACUGUAGGACUAGAGAGCGGAUGCAGCAGGCGGAAUGUGUAGUGUAGCGGUGAAAUGCAUAGAUAUUACACAGAACACCGAUUGCGAAGGCAGCUUGCUAGGCCGGAUCUGACACUGAUGCACGAAAGCGUGGGGAUCGAACAGGAUUAGAUACCCUAGUAGUC